Molecule: long non-coding RNA, 1285 nt
Filed under: Piliocolobus tephrosceles (Ugandan red Colobus)
Lineage: Eukaryota; Metazoa; Chordata; Mammalia; Primates; Cercopithecidae
Description: lncRNA (ENSPTEG00000003293.1)
Source: RNAcentral
GGUACAAGAAAGAAUAAUACCUGUACCCAAAAAAAUAUAUAAAGAAAAAAUAGUUGAAAUACCUCAAAUCGAAUUAAAAAAUGUUGAUGUUGAAAAAAUACAAAAAAUACCUGAAUAUAUCCCAGAAGUUGUUAAAAAAGAUAUACCAUAUACCCAAGUAGUUGAUAGACCAUUUCAUGUUGAAAAAGUUGUUGAAGUACCACAUGUACAACAUAUUUAUAGAAAUAUCGUUUCACCACAGUAUAGACAUAUACCUAAACCAGUUGAAGUGCCUAUGGCUCAUUAUAGAACUUUUCCUGUUGAAAAAUUAGUUGAUAGAAAUGUACCUGUACCUGUCGAAUUACAAAUUGUUCAGGAAUUUUUAUGCCCAAAAAUUGAAGCUAGAUACAAAGAAAUACCUGUCCCUGUUCAUGUACAACGUAUUAUAGAACAUCCUGUUCCUAAACAAGCUAUGAAUAAUCCAUUAUUGUUACCUUUAUAUUAUAAAGAAAGUAAUAUUCAUGCUGCUCCAAUGAAUGAAAAUGGUGGUACUAACAUGAAUGGUGCUAGUGUGAAUGGUAAUACGGCAGAUUGUUUUUUCCCAUUUAAAUGUAACAGAAAUAGUAUUACCCAGCAAAAUGGACAAGGGGUAAGUUCACCUAUCGAAUUAUUGUUACAUAAUGAUAAAAAUAUUAAAGACAUGCAUAAUAAUAAUAAUAAUAAUAACUAUAUGGAUGGAAAUAACAAUGCAGAAUACAUGAAUAAUCACAACUUAAAUAAUAAUUUUCAAAAUAAAAAUAAUGAAUUAAUUUAUAAUAAUAUGGUCAAUAUGAAUGGUAACAACCAGUACCCUAUGCAACAACAACCUAUGAAUGUAUCAGACAUGCAUCCAUACUAUAAUAAGUUGAAUUCACAAUUGUCCAACUUGAACCAACAACAAAUGUCAAAAAUGCAUUUGCAAGGUACUAACAUGAACUUCCCAACACAAGAAAUAAACCCACAAGUGCCAAAUAUCAACCAACAUAUGUCUAAUUUAAGUCAAAAGGGGUACAGUAUGAAUAAAAGUUAUUAUGGUAGUAAUGAUUUUUUAAAAAAACAAAACGCAAAAAGUUAUGCUAACUUGAUAAAUAAUUCAAAUUCAAAUAUUGGCUACAAUCAAUCUUACAGCACAAAUUUGACAAAAGAUAUGUCACACCAAGAAGAAAACUAAUAAAUUAAUGGAAAAUACAAAGUAGAAAAUGGUAAUAUGUAUUCGAGUAUGAGUGACAAAUGCUUACUACCCAUAUAAGUACAGAAAAAAAAAAAA